GUGGGGAAUAUUGGACAAUGGGCGGAAGCCUGAUCCAGCCAUGCCGCGUGUGUGAAGAAGGCCUUUUGGUUGUAAAGCACUUUAAGCGAGGAGGAGGCUACCGAGAUUAAUACUCUUGGAUAGUGGACGUUACUCGCAGAAUAAGCACCGGCUAACUCUGUGCCAGCAGCCGCGGUAAUACAGAGGGUGCAAGCGUUAAUCGGAUUUACUGGGCGUAAAGCGCGCGUAGGUGGCCAAUUAAGUCAAAUGUGAGAUCCCCGAGCUUAACUUGGGAAUUGCAUUCGAUACUGGUUGGCUAGAGUAUGGGAGAGGAUGGUAGAAUUCCAGGUGUAGCGGUGAAAUGCGUAGAGAUCUGGAGGAAUACCGAUGGCGAAGGCAGCCAUCUGGCCUAAUACUGACACUGAGGUGCGAAAGCAUGGGGAGCAAACAGGAUUAGAUACCCGGGUAGUCC
RNAcentral lists this ribosomal RNA (451 nucleotides) under uncultured bacterium. Its description in RNAcentral is "partial 16S ribosomal RNA". It matches the Rfam family "Bacterial small subunit ribosomal RNA", at positions 354 to 796 of the family's 1533-position model. The record is from RNAcentral.